GAUGAAGAACGCAGCGAAAUGCGAUAAGUAGUGUGAAUUGCAGAAUUCAGUGAAUCAUCGAAUCUUUGAACGCACAUUGCGCCCUUUGGUAUUCCUUAGGGCAUGCCUGUUCGAGCGUCAUUUAAACCUUCAAGCUAAGCUUGGUGUUGGGUGACUGUCCGCUUCACGGCGGACUCGCCUCAAAAUUAUUGGCGACCGGUACAUUGGCUUCGAGCGCAGCAGAAACGCGAACUCGGGCCCGUCGUAUUGGCUCCCAGAAGCUAUCUUCACAAUUUUGACCUCGGAUCAGGUAGGGAUACCCGCUGAACUUAAGCAUAUCAAUAAGCGGAGGA
This 332-nucleotide unclassified non-coding RNA is filed under the name soil metagenome. Its description in RNAcentral is "partial contains 5.8S ribosomal RNA, internal transcribed spacer 2, and large subunit ribosomal RNA". The stretch from base 1 to 120 matches the Rfam family "5.8S ribosomal RNA", at positions 35 to 154 of the family's 154-position model. The record is from RNAcentral.